CUUGGAAGAGAGACUAUGAAGCAGACAGACAUUGGGCCGGUUAGUGAGUGGCCCUGGAUACAGCGAUAAACUGAGGCAGCCUGCAAAUUAAACCCCCUCCCCCUUCUCCAGGCCUGCAGGGACACAAGUGACCAAGUGACACGAAGCUAAAAGGGCGAAGAGGGGGAAUCGCUUCUGUGGUCACUGAAGGGACAGAUCCGCACGGGGGCAGCAAAGUGCCACGUUCGCUUCGGAAACGUUUCUGCCCAGAGACUGACUCGGGGAAUAAUCACCAGGAAUUAUUGGCUUCAGCUCUGCAGGCUGGGCUGGCUCUUCAGCGCGAGGCUCUGUCCAACCUAAUCCCUUCCCAUUCCGCACGAGUUCGGUGCCCAGCGCCCCUUGGAAGGUCUGAGAUCACCGCUCACAGGCAGAUUUCCCCGCUGGAGAGUGCCCGUGUUUACACAUCCCUGGACUCUGUGUUAUGUCAGUUUCACAUCCACUGGGUGUGACAUUGUGACAACCCGCCACAGGGCACCGUAACAUUCAGCUUCACCGAUUGUCCCUUAGCUCACACGGACGCCUCGCUGAGGUCACAGUAGCUCCCAUGUUGUCCUAGAUCGGGGCCCAGAUUCCAUAGCUCUGCUCUGGCCUCCUCCGUGGCUGUGUCCCCCCAGAUUCUGAGGCCAUUUAUUUGUACGUGUGGGCAAAGCCGCGCUUUCGUCACACGAUGUAGCCACGCUCAUAUGCAAAUUAAGUAGGGAAACUGCCUGAUAAAGAACAGCCAGGGAGCCUCGCCAACAGGCGGCGGGUUUCCUGCUUUGCAGCGCACAAGGUGGUGGAGGAGAAUGACAAUGAUCGGUCUGGGGUUCUGUUUCCUUCUGGCGGCUGUCUCAGGGGCCAGCUCCCAAAUCCAGCUGAUCCAGUCUGGGUAUUACUGCGCUCGGGACACGGUGACACAAACCAAAACAACAGCCCUUCAAAAACCCCAGUGAGAGAACCCAGGUGUCCUGCCAACCCUGGAGCCUUUAGUCCCUCCGGCGAGCAUUUGCCCAGAUCAACAAGCCGGGGUCAUUUGUCCCAAAUUUCAUAGGCCCGUCACGGUCAGUUGUUUAGUUAUUUCUGGCUGCAGCGUUAAAUCAGUUUUCAGAACAGGCUUCUGUGACAGUCAUCUGUGUCAGCAGCAAAACAGCCCGGAGCGAAUGCCCUGAGUGAUAUACGAUAGGAGAUUUGAAGGAGGGGUUUUCAAUAUCUCUGCUUGAAGGUGUUCCUCAGUGAAUAAAUAAAUACUGGACUGAAAGAGAAGAGGGGUGCCUGCACCCCAUGUCAACCUCCCUUUGACAGUGGAGUCUCAAAUUCCUGCUCCCACAUCAGGCUCAAGAGGGAUGAUCCUGGCUGUUUCAUUUCCUAGAAACCCUCGUACCUGUUUCUCAUCAGUCUCGGAAGCUCUUUCUAAGGAGCGGUCAGCCCCGUUUCACAGAGGGGGAAACUGAGGUACAGGAAGCAGAAGGGACUUGCCCGCAGUCCCCCAGCACCCAGGAGCAAAGCCAGGAACCGCAUUCACGUUUCCUGAGUCCCAGCCUGGUUCUUUGUCCUCGCAGACUAGUAUGCUCCAUAUCCAGCAGUGCGGACGUGACCGUGCGGGGUUGCAGGUAAGACUAGAGCAAACUUUUUAAUACCAGGGACCGCAAACCCAUUCACAAACUUUUAGCAGACCGGUAACAGUUAAUUUGCAUAUUUGCAUAUUCUCGGUCUCCAACUCUUGAGCAGAUCCCAACAGCUGAGCCAAACAUAGAAUCGCCCAUUCCCAGCUGGAAUGGCGCCGGUGUGGAUCAGGCUUCGCGCGGAGGCACUAGGGGGCAGUGUUGCUACACAUCUGAGGCAGCGGCAGGCGGUAAGAAGUUGAUGCGGAUUCAACCUUUACCUUGGUUUCCUGGAAUCGUCCCCAUCUAUCAGCCGACCCCCCACCCUGCCCUUAUCUUUAGGAGGGCUCCAUGUGCCCCUGCAUGAUCUUCAGACCGGCCUGCCUAUGGGGCGGGGGGACGGGGCAAUUUCCCAAGGGCCUUGACAAUUUUAAAGGGCCCAGGGCCCCCCAGCCGCUCCUGCUGACAGCACCCUCCACACAUGGAAGCAGCCGGGACCGUCCCUGCGGCAUCUGGGGGUGGGAUGUCUCUGCGGGCUGCCCCCUCCCAGC
Molecule: non-coding RNA, 2170 nt
Organism: Pelodiscus sinensis (Chinese soft-shelled turtle)
Lineage: Eukaryota; Metazoa; Chordata; Testudines; Trionychidae
Source: RefSeq, a predicted model, not a curated record